GACGAACGCUGGCGGCGUGCCUAAUACAUGCAAGUCGAACGCAGUGGGGACGGGUGAGGAACACGUGGGUAACCUCCCAUCAGAGGGGAUAACACUUGGAAACAGGUGCUAAACCGAUACUGAUGGAUGGACCCGCGGUGCAUUAGCUAGUUGGUGAGGUAACGGCUCACCAAGGUCACGAUGCAUAGCCUGCCUGGUAGGGUGAGCAGCCACACUGGUACGGAGACACGGCCCAGACUCCUACGGGAGGCAGCAGUGGGGAAUCUUCGGCAAUGGACGAAAGUCUGACCGAGCCACGCCGCGUGAGUGAAGAAGGUUUUCGGAUCGUAAAACUCUGUUGUUGGAGAAGCGGUAUCUAACCAGUAAGCCACGGCUAACUACGUGCCAGCAGCCGCGGUAAUAC
Molecule: ribosomal RNA, 403 nt
Filed under: uncultured bacterium
Lineage: Bacteria
Description: partial 16S ribosomal RNA
Rfam family: Bacterial small subunit ribosomal RNA
Source: RNAcentral